GCCGCGAUGGCACAACCUGGUACUGCGAUGGCCUUGAGAGCCAUUUUCCGAAAGGAUGUCCCGGUUCAAAUCCGGGUCGCGGCG
RNAcentral lists this transfer RNA (84 nucleotides) under Candidatus Woesearchaeota archaeon. Its description in RNAcentral is "tRNA-Ser". It matches the Rfam family "tRNA". From Rfam's summary of the family: Transfer RNA (tRNA) molecules are approximately 80 nucleotides in length. Their secondary structure includes four short double-helical elements and three loops (D, anti-codon, and T loops). Further hydrogen bonds mediate the characteristic L-shaped molecular structure. tRNAs have two regions of fundamental functional importance: the anti-codon, which is responsible for specific mRNA codon recognition, and the 3' end, to which the tRNAs corresponding amino acid is attached (by aminoacyl-tRNA synthetases). tRNAs cope with the degeneracy of the genetic code in two manners: having more than one tRNA (with a specific anti-codon) for a particular amino acid; and 'wobble' base-pairing, i.e. permitting non-standard base-pairing at the 3rd anti-codon position. The record is from RNAcentral. Lineage: Archaea; Nanobdellati; Candidatus Woesearchaeota.